Candidatus Yonathbacteria bacterium is the source of this 87-nucleotide non-coding RNA. The record is from Rfam. NCBI's taxonomy places the organism in Bacteria, Candidatus Yonathiibacteriota.
GGAGGAGUGCCAGAGCGGUCUAAUGGAACGGUCUUGAAAACCGUCGUCUCGGUAACGGGACCGUGAGUUCGAAUCUCACCUCCUCCG